This 15393-nucleotide long non-coding RNA is filed under the name Olea europaea subsp. europaea. The record is from RNAcentral. Lineage: Eukaryota; Viridiplantae; Streptophyta; Magnoliopsida; Lamiales; Oleaceae.
GAAAGGAAAGGCUAAACUUCGUCCUCGGAAAUACAGAGUUGUAUAUACCAACCUAACUUAUUGCGGGGAGAUUCAAGUUGGAAUUACUUUUACUGCAAAGGUAACAAUAUAAAAUAAUCCCUCAAACCUAAAGUGACCAAUAUUAUUAGAAUUGGAAAGUUACAAGAAAAAUAUAUAUAACGGAACCUAAACAAACAAUAAGUUUUAGGCUUCUUUUAACAACUUGAUACUGAUGUACAAUGUUUGAUCAAUGUUAUUUGAUUACAGAAAGAAACUGUUGAAGAAGACAUUAUUUGAAAAUCUUUACGAAGAUAUUUGAACGACGAAGAAUUAACCACCAAAAGAAUCAGCCUUUGGUAGCAAGAAGAAUAUGGAGGAAGAAAAAUACAUACUGACUUGAUUUGGGAAUUUAAUGUUGUUGUACAAGCAUUCUUUUGCCCCCUCUCAGGAAUUUGAAAUGCUUUAGGUGUAACGCCCCGAAAUCUUUUUCAUUUUCAUUAUUUUAUUCUUUUAUAAAAAUAGGCUCGAGGUGUUACCAACACCUUCUUUGUCUAAUUUCAGCAGAAAUAUUACUUUCAUUAAGUAUUGAAAAUGCUUAAAAAUAGCUAUUAAACAAUGUUUACAAAAUUCAAUAUGAAGAUAUUCUUCAAAUAAAAGUUUGACAAUUUUAUUUUCUAGAAAAUUUACCCGUUUUCGUGUGAAAGAUAUUGUAAGAGUAAAUACCUUGAAAAUGCUCAGUAAGAAUACGUACACAUUCUUAUUCACAAGAUAUAAAUAUAAAACUGACAUAACAUACCAAUAAUUCUUAGAUUUAGAGCUCAAGGAAUUUCUUAAGAAUUCUCAUAUUCUGUAGGAUUUAACAUAACUGAUCCAAAGUCCAUUCCGUAGGAUUUAACAUCUUUGACCUAACGGUCCAUCUCGAAGGAUUUAACAUACAGUUCGACCCAAAGACGUCAUAGCGUUUUAUGCCAAAAAUUAUACAAAUAUCAAGGAAUAAGAAUUUACCACUUUACACGACGUAUUCUUACCUCAAUUUGAUACUAAAUAAAUCUGAAAAUGACUUGUGAAUGAAAUAAUAUAUCUUUUUAAUAUGUGUGUAUUCACGUGUGAAGGUGUAUAUGUAAAGGGUCAAAAAACACUUCUCACACCUUUUAUAUAUACAAUAUUCACUUUAAUUAACCUGUUUUUUAUUUCAAAUCAAUCAUGGUGAGUGUGGAAAUUAGUAUUCAUUGAUGGGACGAUUGUGUAAAAGUUGAAAAGGUUAAUUUAUUAUAUUAAUUUCAUAAAAAAUGAUCGACUUUAUGUUUUCCAAUUAUCAAGAAACAUCCCAUUCUUCAUUUUACUAUGUGUGUGUGUUCUUUUUAUUAAUAAAAUAUAGGAUUAGAGUAAUUUUCUUUCUCUCAAGAUAACUCGAAUAUGGCUAGUCCAAAUUUUUUUCUUCUUGAGCCAAUUUAUGUUAUUCAUCACGAGUUACAAAAUGAGUAUAAUAUCGAUAUUUUUUUUAUUAACUUUUAAAUAGUUAAAUAUUCGACCCAACUAACUUUCGAUAAAAUUUUAAAAGUAUACAUAAGCAAAUAAAUCAUGAGGAAAUUUCACAAAAUGUCCAUUUUUACCUAGUCAUUUGCAAAAAUAUCCACCAUUGCAAAAAUGUCUAAUUGGGAAGAAUUUAGAUCAAAAUACCCUUAUUAACAAUUUAUAAUUCCACACUAAGACAAAAAUGGACAUUUUUGCAAUAUUGUUAUUGACCAAUAAAAUUUUGACACAUAACCUGUGAUAUUUAUUUGAAAAAGUAUACAUGUCAAAUCACAAUAAAUUUUAUAUUUUUCAUUGAUUCAGAAAUGUCAAGAACGACAUUUUUAAAUGUAGAGAAAUAUCAUUCUAAACAAAUGAAAUGAUGUUCAAAUGUCGAGAAUGACAUAUGAAAUGUCGAGAUACAUUAUUUUAAUGCAGCUUCUCAUGGAAGCCACUUCUCAAAAUUCGUGACAAAUUGAUAAAAAAAUCAAAUGUCGAGAACGAUAUUUAAAAUAUUGAGAAUACCAUUUCAAAAUGUAAUUUUUUAUUAAUGGCAUAAUAGACAAAUUGAUAUUAAAUUUAAAUGAGUUGACACUUUUCAACUCAUACCCUUAAAAUUUGACAUUCUUAAAAAUGCCCCAUAAAUCAUUUAUGUAAAUGAGUAGGUCAAGUUUGUCACUUUAACUCUCAAACUUUUAGUGUGACGACAAAUCUAGAUAUUGACUAUUUCAUUUGCUAAAUGAGCAAUAUUAAGUUUAGGUCCAUAUGAAAAUAGUAAGAAAAAGUCAGGAUCUUACAUCCCUUUACCCUUAAAUAAAUUUCGUCCUUGAAAUUACUUUACUUGACUUUUAUUUCCUCUUAUUUCUAAUGUUUUGAUAAGUUUUUGCCACGUUUGUCACCUAGAUGUUCUAUUAUGUUUUAUCUUUAUUAGUCAAUUUAUACAUUAUGCUAAUAUGCUCUAGUAAAAUGACUAAUUAUCAUAUCUUCAUAUAUAUUAAACAAUAAAAUAACUUGCAUAACAUAUUUUAUUCUAAACAUCAUAAACAUUUCGUGAAAUCAAGCUUAAAUAAUUUAUAAAUCAUGAAUAGAACAUAACAUUUCAUUCAUACUAUUCACUUAAACAUGAUGAAGAAAUACACACAUACACACACACAAUAUUCACUUACCAUUAACUAGGAAUACAAAUCAUCACACGUUAGGGGGAAUUCAAUAGGUUAAUUAACCUAUUCUUUAUUUCAAAUCAAUCGUGGAGAGUGUGGAAAUUAGUAUUCAUUGAUGGGACGGUUAUGUAAAAGUUGAAAAGGUUAAUUUAUUACAAAAAAAUGAUUGACUUUAUGUUUUCCAAUUCUCAAGAUAUGUCAUAUUCUUCAUUUUACUAUUAUAUAUGGAUAAUACUGUGUCUACACCUUAUGGUGUAUACACAGUCUUACACCCCCCUCACAUGGAGGGAGGUCCACGAAUAUUUUAUUACAUAUAGGCCCCCCUCCAUGUAAGUGGGGUGUAAGCCUAUGUGUACACCAUUGUGUACACACAGCACAACCCAUUAUAUAUAUAUAUAGGAUUUGAGUAAUUUUCUUUCAAUCAAGAUAACUCGAAUAUGGCUAGACCAAAAUUAUUUCUUCUUGAACCAAUUUAUGUUAUUCAUCACGAGCUACAAAAUGAGUAUAAUAUCUAUAUGUAUUUUUUAUUAACUUUUAAAUACUUAAAUACUCGACCCAACUAACUUUCGAUAAAAUUUUAAAAGUAUACGUAAGCAAAUAUUUCGUUUAUGCAAAUGAGUAGGUCAAGUUUGUUACUUUAACUUUCAAACUUUUAAUGUGACGACAAAUCUAGACAUGAACUAUUUCAUUUACUAAAUGAGCAAUAUUAAGUUUAGGUUCAUAUGAAAAUAGUAAGAAAAUUUUGGGGUGUUACAUUAGGACUCUAAACAAAUAAUUUUAGCUGAUUAUUCAACCUUUAAUCUGGAUUACAAAAUGUACGAGGAUAUCCGAAUUACAAAAUGUACGAGGAUAUCCGAAGAAAGAACAAGAAAAUGAACUUUUUAAAAAUUUGAAUUUAGGUUUUGAAAUUUUUAUAAUUUGAUUCAAAGAUUUCAGGUAUUAAUGUUAUGUUCUUGUAUCAAUUUCAACUCGUAUAUAUAAGUAAUAAUCUCUAAAACAAGAAAAGACACAAUUCACGAACGAAGAAUUACAUUUGAUGCAAAGUUUCAAAAAUACAAAAAAAAAACAGAGACAACGCAGAUAGAUCAUUCUUUUCCUGCAUUUUUUUUCAUCCGACCUUUUCUUUUGAUCCUCCAAUACUUUAAGAAUACUAUCAGAAGCGUGGGUGGACCUACUUGAGGCCGAGCGGGGUCGGCUGCCCCCACUUGAUUUUUAGAUUUUCAGUUUUUCUCCAAGUUUCUUUAGGUUUUCAUAUUUUUUUCCCAAAGGUUUUUCGGUUUCGGCCCUAAGAUUUUUUGGUGUCGCCCCCUCUAGACUUCUAUCCUAGGUCUGCCCCCAAUCAAAAGAAUGUGGUGGAUAUAUAUAUACACGAGAAAGUUCAGUGUAAUAUUAGAAUUUUAAGUUCAAAACUCAUUGACUCUGAUUUAUGAUAAGGUGAGAUUCUCAAUAAGGUUAGUGUAUCAGCUAACUCUACUAGCCGAACUUUCAAAAGUGCACAAUAGUUUCAUUUAAAUAUAAUCAGAAAGUAUGUACAAGACCUGAGUCAUGUAAAAAAGAUUUAUCUUAUAAAGAAAUUUCAAUUUUCAUCUUGGAUAGAAAAGUCUGGAAGUUGAAAACUAAAGAGAUUUCGUUAGUUAAGGUGCAAUAGUGGUAUCAUAUAAUGGAAAAAGCUACUUGGAAAACUGAAGCAAAAAUUAAGAACAAGUAUUUGACACUAUUUGCCUAAGCAAAGUUAAUAUUAAGGACCAAAAUCUUUUAGGGUUAUGUUGCAAGUACCAAAUGAUUUAUCGAAUUGACAAGUGGUGGCCCCCUAUUUGGAGGGGGGCGACUGUGGGGCCGCCACUUGUUAAUUCGGUAAACCAUUAGGUAAUCUAUUUGGUACAAAUAGAUUAAUCCAUUCUUUUAAGAUGUAAGAGAUGUAAGGUCCCAAAAUUUUAUUAUUUGGUUUGCCUAUUUAAGAAAUGAGCUUUGAAGGCUCACUAAGUUGGUUUAGUGUAUAAAUCAUAAGCUGGUCAAAAAUCCAAAGAUUAAAUUAUUUUAAGUUAAAAUGAUUUUUAUUUCAAAUAUCCAACAAGUAAUUGCUAGUAACAUAAUGGUUAUUUGCAUGUUAUUCACAAAAACAACCAAAGUUAGAAUCACCAUCUAGAUAUUUUUCUUAAAUAUUUUAUUUUAUAACAUUAAGAGUUACAAAACUCUUAAUCUUUUACAUAAACACACCAUUAAGCUAUAUUUAAUUUUUCACAAAAUCUUCAUAGCCAUUCUAUUUAUUGAGUCAUUGAAAAAGGAGAUGGAGUUUACAAGGGAAAAUGACACUAUAUAAACUUCCCUUCCAUCUAUCGAAUUCGGUUGAGCCCAAUUAAAGUGAUUUAAUAAGGCUUCGAUUUUGGACCAUUAUGUAUCCAGUUAAAGUGUGAGUUCUAUAUAUUAUGUGUAGAUAUCGGGCCCAAGUCUUAAUUUUAUGAUGGGCCGAAUUAGAUCAAAGGGCGUCGUUAUAUAAAUACGAUUAUGUUCCCCAGAUCACACGUACGUAUUAUUCAUCGCUAUAUAAAUACGAUUAUGUUCCCCAGAUCACACGUACGUAUUAUUCAUUCUUUUCUGCAUCCCAUCACAGAGAGAAAAAUGAGACUGCAUGUAGAUUUGGAAGACUAUACCGCAGGAUUCAAUUAUUGCAAAUAACCAUGUCUGAUUCAGGUACGCUUCCGCUAUAAUUCUUCAAUUUCGUGAUGAUUUAACAUGAAAGAUCCAGUGAAUUUAAAGCAAUAAAUUAUCCUACAAGUGGUAUCAGAGCCUUUUCAUGUUGAAUCAUUGAGAAUCGAAUAUUUUAUUUGGUUCUUGCAAUAAUCUUAUAAGUUUUCAAGUUUGACAAUUUUUAGAUUUACGUGCUGUUGAAUUUGAAAACUUCUAUAACAUAUUUUGUGUUGUCUUCCAUGAUUUGGAUUAAUAGAUGUGGAAUUUUAGAUUAUGGUUUCUUGGUUUUAUAUUAAAGAUUUAAAGGUUUUACGGAUUAUGGUUUAUGGAUUUAAACAAAAAAAUAAAUAAAUUAUUAAUUUAAGGUUUUCCGGCAGCAGCACUGCUGCCAGUACAACAACGUAGUAGCUCUCGGCACUGCUGUAACAGCUCCGGGGCUGCCAAUGGAGAAACUUCUGCCGACGCUCCAAUCUGUAAGGGGCGGCGCAUAGAGAUGAAAGAUUUUUUUUUUUUUUAGAGUUUUUCAGUUUUUUUUGGAGAUUUGGGGGCGGGGGCUUGAUGCGUAAAUUAGAUGAUUUGAGGCCCCAAUUUGCAAUUAGGGUUAGUGUUAUAAAAUUGAGGUUUCAGUCCCUAACACUAAGGCAUAUUCAAGAUUGAGCCUUUAAGUUUUGGAUUUAAUAAUUCAGUCCCUAAGAUUUAAAAAUUAAUUAAUUUGGGCUAUUAAAGUUCUAAAUUUUAUAAUUAAAGCCCUCAAACUUUAUUAUUAAUUCAAAUUGACCCCCAAAGUUUCAAAUUUUCAAAAUUUGAUCCCUAAAGUUUUGAAUUGGUCAAUUUUUGGCCCUUAAAGUUUUAAAUUUGUUCUAAUUGAUCUUCUAAAGUUUUGAAUUAAUUAAUUAUGGCCCCUAAAGUUUCAAGUUUAUUAAUUUCAACCCCUAAAGUUUGGAAUUAAUUAAUUUUGCCCCCUUGAAAUUUUAAAUUAUUAAUCUUAAGGCCCUUAAAGUUUAAAACUAAACAAAAUAUGUAAAAUUGGUGAUUAUCUUUCUCAAAUUUUGGUACUAAGGACUCUUUUAAGAGAUAUAAUAUUCGAAAGUUGGUUAAUUGAAGCAACAUGUUGCCAAAAUAACCUCUCUUGUAGAAAUUGACUAACUUAGAACACUAAAAGGUAUUUGUGCAUGUGUUAUUCAUGGGAAUAUUGGUCGGCCCAAAGAAAGGUUAAUAUUUAGCCAAAUACACGUGCACUUGUGGUGAUAAACGUGUGACAAUUAUUUGGUUUAAUAUGUGAUCAAUAAAUCGGUCCAAAGAAAGAUUUAUUGAUUGAUAUAUUAUUUUAUCGUCAAUGUUUGAUCACUAUGCCAAGAGUACCACUUACAAGUCAAUAUCUCUGUCCAAAGACUAGAUAUUGAUAUUGUGCUUGGUAUCUUGUGAUGGGUCUUACCACUAUUUGAGAUUAUUAUUAUUUGCAUAUUAAAGAUAUUCAUGUGAGCUAUUCAUAAUAAACGUUAUCUAAUUCAGUUUCAGGUUCUAUACUAAUAUCUUUGCUAGCAUCAAUUCAAUUCCAAUGUUAAAUGGUACAAACUUUAUGGCAUGGCAAGAGAACGUGAUGAUUGUUCUCAGAGUCAUGGACCUGGACCUUGCUUUACGGGUCGAUCAACCCGCUGCACUCAUUGAUAAGAGUACCUCUGAUGACAAGAGGGAGAUGGAAAAAUGGGAAUGAUCGAACCGCAUAAGCUUAAUGGUCAUGAAGCGUGCUAUUCCAGAAGCAUUCCGGGGUACUAUGUCCGGAUAAGGUGACUACGGCUAAGGGUUUCCUUGAGGACCUUGAAAAGAGUCUUGCCAAGAAUGAAAAUGUUGAAACAAGUACACUUUUGGCAAACCUUGUCUCAAUGAGGUAUAAAGGGAAAUGAAACAUUCAGGAGUAUAUUAUGGAAAUAUCUCACAUUGCUUCAAAACUAAAGGCACUCAAGUUGGAUUUAUCUGAAGACUUGUUAGUGCACUUAGUUCUAAUAUCCUUUCCGGUGUAUUUCAGUCAAUUCGAGUUGAGCUACAACUGUCAAAAGGAUCGAUGGUCCCUUAAUGAGCUCAUCUCACACUAUGUCCAGGAAGAGGAAAGAUUGAAGUAUGAGAAGACAGAAAAUGCUCAUUUGGCCACCACCUCUAAGUAUAAAAAGAACAAGAAAAUGAAGAUUAAUAAAGAAGCUGUGGGUACAGCACCGCAAAAGAAACAUUAUAAGGAACCAACUGAAGGUGGUUGUUUCUUUUGUGGGGCUGCAGGGCAUAAGAAGAAGAAUUACACCAAUUACCACGCUUGGCGUGUAAAGGAAGGCAUUUUUCUUCAUUUGGUUUGUUCUGAGGUUAAUUUAACUUCGGUACCUAGACUUACAUGGUGGAUAGAUUCUGUUGCAACAACUCACAUCAGUAUGUCUAUGUAGGGUUGCCUGAGUUGUCGAAAACUAAGUGAUGAUGAAAGAUACAUCUAUGCUAGUGAUGGUAAGAUGGUGAAAGUAGAGACAAUUAGAAAAUUUAGAUUAUCGUUAAAGACUGGAUUUUAUUUGGAUCUGAUGAAACAUUUAUUGUACCGUAUUUUUGACGAAAUUUGAUUUUUAUUUCUAUUUUGGACAAAUUUGGUUAUUCUUGUUCAUUUGGAAAUGGAAAAUUUAGUUUGUUUCAUGAUUCAAAAUUGAUUGGUUCCGGUUCUUUAUCAGGUUACGAUAAUCUUUAUUCAAUUGAUACAAUUGCUGCUUAUAAUGGAUCCUUGCAUGUAAGUACUCAAAGUGUAAAGCGAAAAUUAACCGACGAGAAUUCUACCUCGUUGUGGCACAAAAGAUUAGGUCACAUCUCCAAAAGGUGAAUUGAGAGACUUGUGUCUGAUGGGAUUCUCGACCCUCUUGAUUUUACAAAUUAUGAUCCGUGUGCCAAUUGUAUAAAGGGAAAACAAACUAAUAAAAGGAGAUUUCAAGCCAAUAGGACUUCAGACAUCUUAGAACUUAUACAUACGAAUAUUUGUGGACCAUUCCCUACGGGUUCUUGGAAUGGUCAAUAAUAUUUUAUAACGUUCAUAGACGACUUUUCAAGAUAUGAUUACAUAUAUCUCAUUCAUGAAAAAUCACAGUCAUUGGAUGUGUUCAAAAACUAUAAAGUCGAAGUUGAAAACCAACUCGGCAAAAGGAUUAAAAGUGUCAGAUCUGAUCGUGGUGGUGAAUACUAUGGCAGAUAUAACGGUUUAGGUGAACAACAUUCAGGACCAUUUGCUAAAUUCAUAGAGGAAUGUGGUAUCGUCUUAUAGUACACUAUGCCGGGUUUGCCCACUAUGAAUGGCGUUGCUGAGAGAUGAAACAGAUUGCUUACAGACAUGGUAAGGAGUAUGAUUAGUAGUUCUACCUUACCAGAAUAUCUCUGGGGUGAAGCAUUAAAGAUCGCAGCGUAUAUACUCAACAGAGUUCCAAUUAAGGCCACUGAUAAACCCCAUAUGAGCUUUGGACGCGCAAGAGCCUAGUUUGAAGCAUAUACAUAUUUGGGGGUGUCUAGCUGAGGCAAGGCCCUAUAAGCCAAAUGAAAAGAAACUGGACGCAAAGACCAUCAGUUACUACUUUAUUAGAUAUUCUGAAAAGUCCAGGGGUUACAAGUUUUAUAAUCCCACAACUAAGGCAAUUUUUGAGACAGGAAAUAUUCGGUUCUUUAAAGAUGUUGAGUUUGCGGGGUGAGAAAGGGUUAUAGGCUUUGUCUUUGAGGAGAAAUAUGUUGAAAUUCCUCCAAUUGCCAUUGAUAAUAAUCAUUUUUUUAUUCCUAAUAUUGGUCAAGAAGCAACUCCGGAUCAAAACAAUGUCAUACCUCCCUCUCAAGAUUAACAAAUUGUUCCAGAAGAACAAACUCUGCAGCCUCAAUAACCAAUGUCAUUAAGAAGAUCCACUAGAGAGAGGAGAAGUGCAGUUUCAGAUGAUUGCAUCGUAUUUCUCCAAAAACAUGAAGUUGACAUUGGAAUGGUGGAAGAUGAUCCGAUCAACUUCGUCAAGCCAUGAAAAGUUCUAAUUCUCAAAAGUGGCUCGAUGCCAUGAAUGAAGAGAUAAAGUCCAUGAAGGACAAUGACGUAUGAGACCUCAUUCCAUUGCCUGAAGGUGCGAAACUCAUUGGUUGCAAAUGGAUAUUUAAGACCAAGAGAGAUUCGAAAGAUGAUGUAGAGAGGUAUAAGGCUCGUCUUGCCACAAAGGGCUUUACAUAGAAAGAAGACAUCGAUUAUAAAGAGACUUUCUCUCCGAUUUCUUCAAAAGACUCUUUCAGAACUAUAAUGGCAUUGGUAGCGCAUUUUGAUCUUGAGUUACAUCAAAUGGAUGUUAAGACAUCGUUUUUCAAUGGUGAAAUUGAUGAAACAAUUUAUACGGUACAACCAGAAAACUUUGUAUCGGACGAUGCAAAGCAAAUUGUUUGUAAAUCAAAGAAAUCCAUCCAUGGACCCAAAUAGGCGUCUCGUCAAUGGUAUAACAAGUUUCAUCAGGUGAUCAUCUCAUUUGGUUUUGAGAUGAAUUUGGUCGAUGAUUGUAUAUACUACAAGUUCAGUGGGAGCAAAUAUAUUUUUCUGGUUUUAUAUGUCGAUGACAUAUUGCUUGCUAGCAACGAUAUAAGCUUAUUGCACGAAAUCAAGAGAUUUCUAGCAAAAAAAUUUGUUAUGAAAGAUUUUGGUGACGCCUCUUUUGUAUUAAGAAUUCAUAUACACCGAGAUCGUUCUCAGGGUAUUCUUGGAUUAUCACAAAAAAGCUAUAUCGAAAAGGUACUUAAAAGAUAUGGUAUGCAAGAUUGUAAAUCAGGUGACAUCCCUGUAGCUAAAGGAGACAAGUUCAACUUAAGUCAGUGCCCUAAAAAUGACUUGGAAAUAAAAUAAAUGUAGAAGAUUCCUUAUUCCUCAGCUAUAGGGAGUUUAAUGUAUGCUCAGAUUUGUACGCAUUCGGAUAUAGUGUCCAUUGUAGGGAUGCUAUGGAGAUAUUUAGGUAACCUAGGAAUGGAUCAUUGGAAAGCAGCUAAACGGGUCAUGUGGUAUAUACAGAGAACAAAAGACUACAUGCUCACAUACAGGAGAUCGGAUCAGUUGGAUAUCGUCGAUUAUUCUGAUUCCAAUUUCGUGGGAUGCCAAGAGAGUAGGAGAUCCACUUCAGGCUAUAUUUACCUGCUUGCUGGAUGUGUUAUUCCCUGGAAGAGUGCUAAGCAGACACUCAUAGCUACUUCCACCAUGGCAAGGGAGUUUAUAGCGUGUUAUGAGACAUCAAAUCAUGAAAUAUGACUGCAUAAUUAUGUCACUGGGCUGCGCAUUAUGGACAAUAUAGAAAGAUCACUUAAUAUAUUUUGUGACAAUAAAUCAACAUUGCUAUAUUCCAAUAACAACAGGAGCUCGACAAAGUCAAAACAUAUAGAGAUCAAGUUCCUUGUUGUUAUAGAAAGAGUUCAGAGUGGACAGUUGUCAAAAGAGCACAUUAGGACAAUUCCAUGAUUGCGGAUCCGCUUACUAAAGGAUUGAUAUCCAAGUCUUUCAUGAGAACACUGCUCAUAUGGGUAUAGUGUCUCUUGAGGAUAUCUAGUUUCAGUAGGAGUUUGUAUUUUUGCUUUUCAUAUUGGACAUAUGUACUGUUAUGUUGGAUACAAUUUAAGGUUAAAGUUAUUUUCAGUUAUAAAGUUAUUUGGUUUAUUAUCUCUGAACUUAUUUAAAAUGAUCUCACUAAGACAUUAAGGUGGACCAGUUGGAAAUAUGCAUGUUACAGAUCACAUCACAUGUAAUUUUCAUGCUACACAUCUAUGCUUGAUUCAUGUUAUUCGGUUAUAUUGAUAUACGUGACCACUGAUGGGUUUAGCUGCAUGAAAGUAGCGAAAGCCGCUUUAAUUCUAUGUUGAUAUGAUUGAUGGACGAGAUUGUUUGGGGAUGCAUUCAGUAAUGAUAGCAAAAAUCUGAGUACUCAUAAGGUUAUAUUUGAUGCACAAUUAUAAGGUGACACAUAUAGCUCAAGUAGGAGAUUGUAAGGAAUUUUUAAACGAUCGUGUGGGUUUAUAUGUGUAAAUUGUUGUGUAUUAAAUUAAAGGUUAUCGAAUUCAAUUGAGCCCAAUUAAAAUGAUCUAAUAAGGUUUCGAUUUUGGGCCGUUAUGCAUCCAAUUAAAGUGUGGGUUCUAUGUGUAGAGACCGAACCCAAGUCCUAAUUCUAUGAUGGGUCGAAUUAGGUCAAACGACAUCGCUAUAUAAAUAGGGUUAUGAUCCCCAUAUCACACGUACGUAUUAUUCAUUCUCUUCUACAUCCCAUCACAGAGAGAAAAAUGAGACUGCGUGUAGAUUUGAAAGAUUAUACCACAGGAUUCAAUUAUUGCAAAUAACCAUGUCUGAUUCAGGUACGCUUCCGCUAUAAUUCUUCAAUUUCUUGAUAAUUUAACAUGAAAUAUCCGGUGAACUUAAAGCAAUAAAUUAUCCUACAAUUCCUCCCUAGAUAACGAUAAAAUGAUCAUACAAAACAUUUGGUAUCAACGAGACAUGCAAGUAAUAUUUUUCAUGACACAUUGUAUUAAAGGGAUGCUCCUGUUUCUAGUCAAUUGCAAAAACUAGGAAAAGUAUUAAAAACAGACAAAUCUUUUCUACCAAAAUGCGUUGCCAUGAAUAAACAAGUGAUUGUUCUAAUAAUAAUAAUAAUAAUAAUAAUAAUAACAACUAUGAAACCUUUUGCUUAUAGAUCUGCUUCCGUUUGGCCCCCAUUCUCACUUUUAUUUUUUCUCUCUCUUAUUUUUAACCAUACAAUCUUCCAAAAAAUAAUAUUAUAUGCAAAUAAAAAACGUUUCAUUUUUUUUCAACCACACAUUUUUCAAAUAAAUACAAUUCCAACUAUUAAAAUUUGGCAACAAUAGGGGCCAAACGAGGGCAGAAAGUUUUCCAAUGUGUUUGCGCCAAGGAAUUUUAAAGUAAAUCAAGGUCCCAAGAAAUUGAAAAUAUUUCUAAUAAAAUUGUUUUGAUUCACUAAAUUUACUUCUAAAAUGUAUCUAAAGUGCUAGCCAUGGGAUUUUAUUUCGAAAUAUGUAAAGUUUGAAUUUUUUUGUCAAAAAAAAAAAAAAAAAUCUGAAUGAAAAUCUUAACAUCCGUUUACUUGUAGAACAAAAAUUUUCACAAUUUUCACAUUAAUUUAUUGUUCGCAAAUAUCACAGGUCACGGAAGCUUUCUUUGAAAACACCAAUAAGGUUGUCCUUUAAUGACAAAAGGGGAGAAGGUUAAGAUUAAAUUCUGAAAAUUCAACUUCAAUUCACAAAAGAGUAAGUCAAUUAUUCUGGUCCCAAUAUUCUUUAGACUUUUUCUAACAUGUUGCAAUUAUUUUAAUCAUGCUGAAAUCUUGUGGAUGAGUCAAAUUAAAGGGCCAAUGGAAAAUAUCCAAGAAAAGACUAUGGGGAAACUUUGGACUUUGAAGAUACAAUUUAAUCAUUUAAAUGAAUAGUGGUAUCGAGACUAGUUAACUAGUUAUGAUUUGAAUUCAAUUUUGUAUUCAAAUAUUGUCAUUGUGCAUUUAUGAAAAUUAUGUAUAUAUCCAGACCUUAAAUGAAAUUAUAAAAUACAUUUUGAUAUGAGGGAGCACUUUGUUAUAUACAGAAAAAAAUUUAAAUUGAUGGAGAAUAUGUGAUUAAAAAAUAAGAAAUUGUUUUAGAUUUACGUGUAAUAUUAUUUUAUUGAAAAAUGUGCAAUGAAAUGAUGUUAAAUUACUGUUUAAAAAUGUAUUAUUGUUAUUAUUAUUAGUGAAAGAAUGCGACGGAAACAUGGUCUAAGAUUUUAAACUCACAUUUCUUGGUAGGGCCCACUACUGUCUUUGGCAGCCGUAUUAGACUGUAAUUAACAACACAAAAAUCUACCCAUGAAACCAAAAGAAUGAGAUAGGAAACAGUCACGUAAUAGAUAACUAUCAACUAGUUUAGAUUGGAAGAUGUCAAAUGAUUGCCGCGUGCGUAAUUACAACUAUUCAACCAGUUUUUAUCAAAAUUAAGACAACUGUAGACGCAGCCUCUUGCCUAUAAAAUGAAGCCUCCCUCAGAAAUUGAGUCCUACGAAGACUAAAAGACUUUCUAAAGAUUCUCUUAUAUUAAUUCGUAUCCCUAAUUUCGACACACAGAGACUUUAAUAUCUUUAAAUAUUAUACUUUCUCAGCCUUAGAGAGGAAGAGAGAUGGCGAUUGGAAUAAUGGAGGUGAAGCUGGUGCGUGCUAAAGGUCUCAAACAGUCUUAUUUUCUAGGUAUGCGUGGCUCUGUGUAUGUGAUUCUAAUAUACAGAUGUGCUGUGAUGAGUUCAAUGAAUCAUGCAUUUCUUGAAUGUUGAGAAGAGAAAAAUCAUUAUUAAAUGAUUUGAGUUCUUUUUCUCAUAUUGAACCCAAAAAUAAUUUAUUAACAAGAUUUCCUUAAUCAACAUUUUUCUUCUUUAAUCAUAUUGAGUCUUUUUUAGGACUAAAACAUCUCAUCGAUGCAAUUGAAUUGGAUGAAUCAAUCCAAAAACUUUACUCUUCUUUAAUCAUAUUGAGCUUUUUUCGAUGUAACUUGUUGAACUUGGUUUCCUUGAUGAAACUACAUUCUUGUUCUUUCUUUCUUUUUCCUUUUUUUCUUCUCUCUCUCUUUUUUUUUUUCCUUUCCCUCUAUAAAAGGUUUAAUAUCAUAAAAGGUCCUCAUAUAAUGGCCAGUCAAUGUGAUUAUGCUUUACAUUGUAGUCUAUUGCAUGACAUAUAAAACAAUUGACAAAAUAUUUUGAUUCUUUAAUUACGAGAAAUUAUACACGCUUCAAAGUAUCAAAUGUGGAUCCUUUAUAGUAUUAUUUAUUUUUUACAACUUAUUCGUAUUCUAAUCCUAAUACCAUGAGAACUUUAAAAGAGACCGGUCAAUGUGAUUUUAAAUAGCUGAUAAUAUGUCAUAUACAUUAUUUUGUAGGUAAAAUAGAUCCAUACGUUUUGCUUCAAUACAGAAAUCAAGAGUACAAGAGCAGAAUUGCAAAAGGUAACAUUCCUCGCGCGAGUGCACAAUAAUUUGUUUUUUCAAGUUUCCUAAAUACACUACUUGUCAACAUAUUCAAAGAAUUUACUUGCUCUGACAAUGCUCCAACAAUAACAAAAAAAAAAAAAAAAUGACAUACUUUUUAGAGUCCAAUAUAAAAUAACUAAUGAGAUUUUAAUUUCUAUAAUCAUGUAGGGCAAGGUCGCAACCCAAUAUGGAAUGAGAAGUUUAAGUAUAUAGUCGAUUAUCCAGAGGAUGAUGAGCAGUACAAACUCGUGCUCAAGGUCAUGGAUCACGACAAGUACACUGCAGAUGAUUAUCUCGGCGAGGCAAAGUAGGACAAUAUGAUAUUUAUCAAAACAUCUCCUAUAUAAUUGCGUCUAAUCUUAUUCUAAUUAGUUUGGUAUAACUUAUCACAAUCUACAUGCAGGAUCUAUGUGAAAGAACUUAUAGAAUUAGGAGUGGAGAAAGGAAAGGCUAAACUUCGUCCUCGAAAAUACAGAGUUGUAUAUACCAACCUAACUUAUUGCGGAGAGAUUCAAGUUGGAAUUACUUUUACUGUAAAGGUAACGAUAUAAAAUAAUCCCUCAAACCUAAAGUGACCAAUAUUAUUAGAAUUGGAAAGUUACAAGAAAAAUAUAUAUAAUGGAACCUGAACAAACUAUAAGUUUCAGGCUUCUUUUAACAAAUUGAUACUGAUGUACAAUGUUAUUUGAUUACAGAAAGAAACCAUUGAAGGAGAUAUUUUUCGAAAAUCUUCACGAAGAUAUUUGGACGACGAAGAACGAACCACCAAAAGAAUCAAACUUUGGUAGCAAGAAGAAUAAGGAAGAAGAAAAAUAGCAAGAAGAAUAAGGAAGAAGAGAAAUACGUAUCGACUUAAUUUGGGAAUUUAAUGUUGUUGUACAAGCAUUCUUUUGCUCCCUCUUGUUGAAUCUGAAUUGCUUUAGGGACUCUAAACAAAUAAUUUUAGCUGAUUAUUCAGCCUUUAAUCUGGAUUACAAAAUAUACAAGGAUAUCCGGAGAAAGAACAAGAAAAGAAACUUUUUUAAAAAUG